AAAAGUUUAAAUACAUCUGUUCUUAAUACAGUAUUCCCCACCUUUAACAUCAAUGACAGCUUGGUGUCUUUUGUGGUAGUUUUGGAUGACAACAUAA
This is a long non-coding RNA of Thalassophryne amazonica, 97 nucleotides long. RefSeq lists it as uncharacterized. Lineage: Eukaryota; Metazoa; Chordata; Actinopteri; Batrachoidiformes; Batrachoididae. The transcript is spliced from 3 exons. The record is from RefSeq and is a predicted model, not a curated record.